This is a non-coding RNA of Podarcis lilfordi (Lilford's wall lizard), 122 nucleotides long. NCBI's taxonomy places the organism in Eukaryota, Metazoa, Chordata, Lepidosauria, Squamata, Lacertidae. The record is from the annotation of a GenBank genome assembly.
CCCGAAACCAAACGAGCUAUUUUUGGGCAGCUGUUAAUCUAGAGCACACCCGUCCCUGUAGCAAAAGGGUGGGAAGACCUAAAAAUAGAGGCAAAAAGCCAAUCGAGCUUGGUGAUAGCUGG